UGCAGUCGAGCGGAUGAGUGGAGCUUGCUCCAUGAUUCAGCGGCGGACGGGUGAGUAAUGCCUAGGAAUCUGCCUGGUAGUGGGGGAUAACGUUUCGAAAGGAACGCUAAUACCGCAUACGUCCUACGGGAGAAAGUGGGGGAUCUUAGGACCUCACGCUAUCAGAUGAGCCUAGGUCGGAUUAGCUAGUUGGUGGGGUAAUGGCCCACCAAGGCGACGAUCCGUAACUGGUCUGAGAGGAUGAUCAGUCACACUGGAACUGAGACACGGUCCAGACUCCUACGGGAGGCAGCAGUGGGGAAUAUUGGACAAUGGGCGAAAGCCUGAUCCAGCCAUGCCGCGUGUGUGAAGAAGGUCUUCGGAUUGUAAAGCACUUUAAGUUGGGAGGAAGGGCAGUAAGCUAAUACCUUGCUGUUUUGACGUUACCAACAGAAUAAGCACCGGCUAACUUCGUGCCAGCA
RNAcentral lists this ribosomal RNA (461 nucleotides) under Metapseudomonas otitidis. RNAcentral describes it as "bacterial SSU rRNA". It matches the Rfam family "Bacterial small subunit ribosomal RNA", at positions 56 to 513 of the family's 1533-position model. The record is from RNAcentral. Lineage: Bacteria; Pseudomonadati; Pseudomonadota; Gammaproteobacteria; Pseudomonadales; Pseudomonadaceae.